CGUAACAAGGUUUCCGUAGGUGAACCUGCGGAAGGAUCAUUACCUAGAGUUUGUAGACUUCGGUCUGCUACCUCUUACCCAUGUCUUUUGAGUACCUUCGUUUCCUCGGCGGGUCCGCCCGCCGAUUGGACAACAUUCAAACCCUUUGCAGUUGCAAUCAGCGUCUGAAAUAACAUAAUAGUUACAACUUUCAACAACGGAUCUCUUGGUUCUGGCAUCGAUGAAGAACGCAGCGAAAUGCGAUAGGUAGUGUGAAUUGCAGAAUUCAGUGAAUCAUCGAAUCUUUGAACGCACAUUGCGCCCCUUGGUAUUCCAUGGGGCAUGCCUGUUCGAGCGUCAUUUGUACCUUCAAGCUCUGCUUGGUGUUGGGUGUUUGUCUCGCCUCUGCGUGUAGACUCGCCUUAAAACAAUUGGCAGCCGGCGUAUUGAUUUCGGAGCGCAGUACAUCUCGCGCUUUGCACUCAUAACGACGACGUCCAAAAGUACAUUUUUACACUCUUGACCUCGGAUCAGGUAGGGAUACCCGCUGAACUUAAGCA
This 539-nucleotide ribosomal RNA is filed under the name uncultured fungus. RNAcentral describes it as "eukaryotic LSU rRNA". The stretch from base 186 to 339 matches the Rfam family "5.8S ribosomal RNA". Lineage: Eukaryota; Fungi. The record is from RNAcentral.